AUGGGCCUUUCUCUUGGACUGCGCAACCCGAGAUGUGCCGAUUUUCAAGCUCUCAUUGACAAGAUUAUUGCUCGGCUCGCAAGAUGGAAAGGGAAACUCCUCGACAAGGCGGGCAGGCUAACUCUCAUCAACUCUGUGCUCACCUCUUUGACCACUUAUUUCUUCACUAUCUUCCCUCCUCCAAAGUGGCUCAUCAAGAGAAUUGACAAGAUUAGGAGAGGGUUCCUAUGGAAAGGAGAUGAAGAUGCAACUGGUGGAAACUGU
RNAcentral lists this ribosomal RNA (264 nucleotides) under Triticum aestivum (bread wheat). RNAcentral describes it as "partial small subunit ribosomal RNA". The record is from RNAcentral. Lineage: Eukaryota; Viridiplantae; Streptophyta; Magnoliopsida; Poales; Poaceae.